GCUUGGCUGGCUCAGUUGACGGAGCACGUGACUCUGGAUCUUGGGGUUGUGAGUUCGAGCCCCACGUUGGGUG
This 73-nucleotide transfer RNA is filed under the name Felis catus (domestic cat). It matches the Rfam family "tRNA". From Rfam's summary of the family: Transfer RNA (tRNA) molecules are approximately 80 nucleotides in length. Their secondary structure includes four short double-helical elements and three loops (D, anti-codon, and T loops). Further hydrogen bonds mediate the characteristic L-shaped molecular structure. tRNAs have two regions of fundamental functional importance: the anti-codon, which is responsible for specific mRNA codon recognition, and the 3' end, to which the tRNAs corresponding amino acid is attached (by aminoacyl-tRNA synthetases). tRNAs cope with the degeneracy of the genetic code in two manners: having more than one tRNA (with a specific anti-codon) for a particular amino acid; and 'wobble' base-pairing, i.e. permitting non-standard base-pairing at the 3rd anti-codon position. The record is from Rfam by way of RNAcentral. Lineage: Eukaryota; Metazoa; Chordata; Mammalia; Carnivora; Felidae.